Molecule: unclassified non-coding RNA, 253 nt
Filed under: uncultured Caryophanales bacterium
Lineage: Bacteria; Bacillati; Bacillota; Bacilli; Caryophanales
Description: uncultured Bacillales bacterium contains 16S-23S intergenic spacer region
Rfam family: Bacterial small subunit ribosomal RNA
Source: RNAcentral
UACGUAGGGGGCGAGCGUCGUCCGGAAUUAUUGGGCGUAAAGCGCGCGCAGGCGGUUUCUUAAGUCUGAUGUGAAAGCCCACUGCUUAACCGUGGAGGGUCAUUGGAAACUGGGAGACUUGAGUACAGAAGAGGAGAGUGGAAUUCCACGUGUAGCGGUGAAAUGCGUAGAUAUGUGGAGGAACACCAGUGGCGAAGGCGACUCUCUGGCCUGUAACUGACGCUGAGGCGCGAAAACGUGGGGAGCAAACAGG